Molecule: ribosomal RNA, 443 nt
Filed under: uncultured bacterium
Lineage: Bacteria
Description: partial 16S ribosomal RNA
Rfam family: Bacterial small subunit ribosomal RNA
Source: RNAcentral
CCUACGGGAGGCAGCAGUGGGGAAUAUUGGGCAAUGGAGGAAACUCUGACCCAGCAACGCCGCGUGAAUGAUGAAGGUUUUCGGAUUGUAAAGUCCUUUUGUUAGGGAAGAAGAAAGUGAUGUUUCCUUAGUAAGAAGCCUCUGCUAACUACGUGCCAGCAGCCGCGGUAAUACGUAGGAAGCAAUCGUUCUCAGGAAUGACUGGGCGUAAGGGGUGCGUAGGUGGUUUGACAAGUUGGUAGCGUAACACCGGGGCGCAACCUCAGCACUACUACCAAAACUGUCGGACUUGAGUGCAGGAGGGGCAAAUGGAAUUCCUGGUGUAGCGGUAGAAUGCGUAGAUAUUAAGAGGAACACUAGUGGCGAAGGCGAUUUGCUGGACUGUAACUGACACUGAGGCACGAAAGCGUGGGGAGCAAACAGGAUUAGAUACCCCUGUAGUC